RNAcentral lists this ribosomal RNA (429 nucleotides) under uncultured Glomus. Its description in RNAcentral is "SSU rRNA". It matches the Rfam family "Eukaryotic small subunit ribosomal RNA", at positions 569 to 1007 of the family's 1831-position model. The record is from RNAcentral. Lineage: Eukaryota; Fungi; Glomeromycota; Glomeromycetes; Glomerales; Glomeraceae.
AGCAGCCGCGGUAAUUCCAGCUCCAAUAGCGUAUAUUAAAGUUGUUGCAGUUAAAAAGCUCGUAGUUGAAUUUCGGGGUUAGUAGGUUGGUCAUGCCUCUGGUAUGUACUGGUCUCACUGAUUCCUCCUUCCUGAUGAACCGUAAUGCCAUUAAUUUGGUGUUGCGGGGAAUUUGGACUGUUACUUUGAAAAAUUGAGUGUUUAAAGCAAGCUAACGCUUGAAUACAUUAGCAUGGAAUAAUGAAAUAGGACGUUCGAUCCUAUUUUGUUGGUUUCUAGGAUUGACGUAAUGAUUAAUAGGGAUAGUUGGGGCAUUAGUAUUCAAUUGUCAGAGGUGAAAUUCUUGGAUUUAUUGAAGACUAACUACUGCGAAAGCAUUUGCCAAGGAUGUUUCAUUAAUCAAGAACGAAAGUUAGGGAUCGAAGACGA